GGGACUGUAGCUCAGUGGUAGAGCACUUGCCUAGCAGGUGUGAGACUCUGGGUUCGAUCCUCAGCACACAUA
This 72-nucleotide transfer RNA is filed under the name Ictidomys tridecemlineatus (thirteen-lined ground squirrel). RNAcentral describes it as "Spermophilus tridecemlineatus (thirteen-lined ground squirrel) tRNA". It matches the Rfam family "tRNA". Rfam says of the family: Transfer RNA (tRNA) molecules are approximately 80 nucleotides in length. The record is from Rfam by way of RNAcentral. Lineage: Eukaryota; Metazoa; Chordata; Mammalia; Rodentia; Sciuridae.